Long non-coding RNA from Bufo bufo (common toad), 557 nucleotides. RefSeq lists it as uncharacterized. NCBI's taxonomy places the organism in Eukaryota, Metazoa, Chordata, Amphibia, Anura, Bufonidae. The transcript has 3 exons. The record is from RefSeq and is a predicted model, not a curated record.
CCUGCUUUGUUGUAAUGAAGAUGAUGUCAAGGCAGUUUGGUGUUUUUGGGACUUUUAUGUCAACUAUUGAAUUAAAAUGUCAUAUUGCAUUUUGGGGUCAAAACUAAUUUAGUGAUAAUAGUAACAAUAAUGGUUUGCCAGUCUAUUCCAGCUUGUAACCACAUCACAGGUUUAGCAUUAAAUUAAUAUUAUUUUUUUUCAUAAUUCAGAUUUACAUGGAAGGCCAACAUAUAUAUUAAAUACUUUGACAGGUUUUAAAUAAAUAUAUUUAGUCAUGAAAUUCAGUACACAAGUAACUUCAGUACACAAGUAACUUUAUACAUUCCUUUGAUGCAUAAUUUUCCUGACCGGAAUGCAGUCAGCAAUGUAAGCAACAUUUUUGCAUAAAUUAAUCAUUAUAGAAACCUCCAUUUUUGAAAUGCUGCUUGCUUUCAAUGUACUGUAAAAUGAUGCACAGUGCAAUGCAAAAAAUAUUACAUAGGUACUUCUAUUUUAAUUUUAUGACUACAUAAGCUUAAGCUAAACAACAUCAUAUCAAGGUAUACACUAUAAAUAAA